RNAcentral lists this non-coding RNA (27 nucleotides) under Mus musculus (house mouse). The record is from RNAcentral. Lineage: Eukaryota; Metazoa; Chordata; Mammalia; Rodentia; Muridae.
UACCCAGACGAGGACUUCGUGACAAGG